This 906-nucleotide long non-coding RNA is filed under the name Sus scrofa (pig). Its description in RNAcentral is "lncRNA (ENSSSCG00070020494.1)". Lineage: Eukaryota; Metazoa; Chordata; Mammalia; Artiodactyla; Suidae. The record is from RNAcentral.
GUUCUUUAUAGACAAGCUGUUAUGGUAAUGGGUAGAAAUUGGUUUAUUGUCCAGUGUUGAUCUAAUUUACAUAAAUAAAAAGAUUGUUGUGUUUUUGUUGUGUUUUCAUCUUCAGUUUCUUGAAUACAGAUAUGGCUUAGUUCUACAGACAGAAAAAAAAAAAGUACAGCCAAGAACUUUUCUUUUUAUACCCCCAUUAUUUAAACACCGGCAGUGCUUUCCUUACAAUAAAUACAAUAAAUUUUGCUUCUGAGAAGAAUGGAUGCUUUUGUUUUCACUAGGAGGAGUUUUUGAUUUUUUGAAAUUCCAAAUCAACACUCUUUCCUAUUUCUAACCAGAAUUGCAAUACAAACUCAUGUUAACUACAUCUCUUGGUUUACUUUGCUCUAAAAAAAAAAAAAAAAUGAGGUUGUCAGAUUUACUUCCCAGGUAACUAAAAGGUAAUUAAAGACUCUGUGUUCCAGGAACUAAGGGCCUCUGGGUCCAAGUCAAAGAUGAUGGCCCCCUCAUGUUGCUAGUGGGAUGGCACUCUGGCAUGAUGCUCUUUGAAGGAGAUGGUACAGGAGAGAAGCCCACAGGACCAGGUGAACUCAUUCUCAGUUGGAUUUCCCUGUAGGGAAAGACAGAAAGGACAAUGGAAUCUACUUUAUGUGAGAUUUCCCACUUUUUGGCUUACUUAUUAAUUUAAAAAAGGGGGGAAGGUUUUCAAGGCUAGAACCAUAAUUGACUGAAUCAAAGAACACCCCCCCCAAAAAAGGGAAGUAGAAGAAAAAAGAAAACAAGGGAAGUGUGAUUAAGAGGGUGGGAAAUCCACUUAUCGACAAAGAAAAUGGGUAUAUGCUUUUUGUCUCUGGUUCAAGUGAAUUCCACUGAGUUUCCUUUUUAUUUGUUUUUUGGAGAGUGAGG